Molecule: transfer RNA, 67 nt
Filed under: Liobagrus obesus
Lineage: Eukaryota; Metazoa; Chordata; Actinopteri; Siluriformes; Amblycipitidae
Description: tRNA-Cys
Rfam family: tRNA
About the family: Transfer RNA (tRNA) molecules are approximately 80 nucleotides in length. Their secondary structure includes four short double-helical elements and three loops (D, anti-codon, and T loops). Further hydrogen bonds mediate the characteristic L-shaped molecular structure. tRNAs have two regions of fundamental functional importance: the anti-codon, which is responsible for specific mRNA codon recognition, and the 3' end, to which the tRNAs corresponding amino acid is attached (by aminoacyl-tRNA synthetases). tRNAs cope with the degeneracy of the genetic code in two manners: having more than one tRNA (with a specific anti-codon) for a particular amino acid; and 'wobble' base-pairing, i.e. permitting non-standard base-pairing at the 3rd anti-codon position.
Source: RNAcentral
AGUUCCGUGGUGUAUAACACAUCGGAUUGCAAAUCCGAAGGUGCCGGCUAAUAGCCGACCGGGACUU